UGGGGUGUGGCUCAAUGGUAGAGCACUUGCCUAGCAUGUAUAAAGCCCUGGGUUCAACCCCAGCACCACAC
Molecule: transfer RNA, 71 nt
Filed under: Cavia porcellus (domestic guinea pig)
Lineage: Eukaryota; Metazoa; Chordata; Mammalia; Rodentia; Caviidae
Rfam family: tRNA
About the family: Transfer RNA (tRNA) molecules are approximately 80 nucleotides in length. Their secondary structure includes four short double-helical elements and three loops (D, anti-codon, and T loops).
Source: Rfam by way of RNAcentral